Molecule: ribosomal RNA, 387 nt
Filed under: uncultured bacterium
Lineage: Bacteria
Description: bacterial SSU rRNA
Rfam family: Bacterial small subunit ribosomal RNA
Source: RNAcentral
AUUGAACGCUGGCGGAAUGCUUUACACAUGCAAGUCGAGCGGCAGCACGGGGGCAACCCUGGUGGCGAGCGGCGAACGGGUGAGUAACACAUCGGAACGUACCCCGUCGUGGGGGAUAACGAGUCGAAAGAUUCGCUAAUACCGCAUACGACCCGGGGGUGAAAGCGGGGGAUCGCAAGACCUCGCGCGACUGGAGCGGCCGAUGGCGGAUUAGCUAGUUGGUGGGGUAAAGGCCCACCAAGGCGACGAUCCGUAGCGGGUCUGAGAGGACGGCCCGCCACACUGGGACUGAGACACGGCCCAGACUCCUACGGGAGGCAGCAGUGGGGAAUUUUGGGACAAUGGGGGCAACCCUGAUCCAGCCAUUCCGCGUGAGUGAAGAAGGCC